GUGGGGAAUAUUGGGCAAUGGGCGCAAGCCUGACCCAGCAACGCCGCGUGAAGGAAGAAGGCUUUCGGGUUGUAAACUUCUUUUACCAGGGACGAAACAAAUGACGGUACCUGGUGAAUAAGCCACGGCUAACUACGUGCCAGCAGCCGCGGUAAUACGUAGGUGGCGAGCGUUAUCAGGAUUUAUUGGGUGUAAAGGGCGUGUAGGCGGGACAGCAAGUCAGAUGUGAAAACCAGAGGCUCAACCUCUGGCCUGCAUUUGAAACUGUUGUUCUUGAGUGUCGGAGAGGUAAUCGGAAUUCCGUGUGUAGCGGUGAAAUGCGUAGAUAUACGGAGGAACACCAGUGGCGAAGGCGGAUUACUGGACGAUAACUGACGCUGAGGCGCGAAAGCGUGGGGAGCAAACAGGAUUAGAAACCCCAGUAGUCC
This 428-nucleotide ribosomal RNA is filed under the name uncultured bacterium. RNAcentral's name for it is "partial 16S ribosomal RNA". It matches the Rfam family "Bacterial small subunit ribosomal RNA", at positions 354 to 796 of the family's 1533-position model. The record is from RNAcentral.